Oxyura jamaicensis (ruddy duck) is the source of this 171-nucleotide long non-coding RNA. RefSeq lists it as uncharacterized. The transcript is spliced from 3 exons. The record is from RefSeq and is a predicted model, not a curated record. NCBI's taxonomy places the organism in Eukaryota, Metazoa, Chordata, Aves, Anseriformes, Anatidae.
CAUGUACUUUAACAUUAUUUUGAGCUCUCAGACAAUUUUGUUACAGUUUUACACUUGAUAAAGGUUUCAUGAAGGGCAGUGCAGAGCAUUUCUGGUUAGUAGAACCAGAGCUGUGCAAAACAGUCUUUGUGUAAAUUAGAUGACUUCUGGCAUUUUGACUGUCACAUGAUC